Long non-coding RNA from Oncorhynchus tshawytscha (Chinook salmon), 404 nucleotides. NCBI's taxonomy places the organism in Eukaryota, Metazoa, Chordata, Actinopteri, Salmoniformes, Salmonidae. The record is from Ensembl.
GUUUAAUCUUUGUCCGGCAAACCGGGCCUAAGAGGUAUGAUUGGGUUUGGGUGUCUUUGGCUACCGUCUGAUGAAAAACGCACAGAGAAAACAAAGGCUUUGAACCGCCCUGUGUAGUUCUCUAAAAUAGAGAAAGAAAAUCUAAGAAAUACUUCCCGUUGGAACAGGUGAAUCCAGGUGAAUCCAGGUGAAUGGUGAAUCCAGGUGAAUCCAGGUGAAUGGUGAAUCCAGGUGAAUCCAGGUGAAUGGUGAAUCCAGGUGAUUCCAGGUGAAUGGUGAAUCCAGGUGAAUCCAGGUGAAUCCAGGUGAAUCCAGGUGAAUCCAGGUGAAUCCAGGUGAAUGGUGAAUCCAGGUGAAUGGUGAAUCCAGGUGAAUGGUGAAUCCAGGUGAAUGGUGAAUCCAGG